GUGGGGAAUAUUGGGCAAUGGGGGCAACCCUGACCCAGCGACGCCGCGUGAGGGAAGAAGGCCUUAGGGUCGUAAACCUCUGUUGUGUGGGAAGAAGGAAGUGACGGUACCACACGAGGAAGUCCCGGCUAACUACGUGCCAGCAGCCGCGGUAAUACGUAGGGGACGAGCGUUGUCCGGAAUUACUGGGCGUAAAGGGCGCGUAGGCGGUCAUUUAAGUCCUCUGUGAAAUGGUCCGGCUCAACCGGAUCAUGCGGUUGAAACUGGAUGACUGGAGUGCUGGAGAGGCAAGUGGAAUUCCCAGUGUGGCGGUGAAAUGCGUAGAUAUUGGGAAGAACACCGGUGGCGAAGGCGACUUGCUGGCCAGCAACUGACGCUGAGGCGCGAACGCCAGGGGCGCAAACGGGAUUAGAUACCCCGGUAGUCC
This 427-nucleotide ribosomal RNA is filed under the name uncultured bacterium. RNAcentral describes it as "partial 16S ribosomal RNA". It matches the Rfam family "Bacterial small subunit ribosomal RNA", at positions 354 to 796 of the family's 1533-position model. The record is from RNAcentral.